UACAGAGGGUGCAAACGUUGUUCGGAUUUACUGGGCGUAAAGCGCGUGUAGGCGGCUUUGCAAGUCGGAUGUGAAAGCCCACGGCUCAACCGUGGAAGUGCAUCCGAAACUGCAUGGCUGGAGUCCCGGAGAGGAAGGUGGAAUGCUUGGUGUAGAGGUGAAAUUCGUAGAUAUCAAGCAGAACACCUGCGGCGAAGGCGGCCUUCUGGACGGUGACUGACGCUGAGACGCGAAAGCGUGGGGAGCAAACAGG
Molecule: ribosomal RNA, 253 nt
Filed under: uncultured bacterium
Lineage: Bacteria
Description: partial 16S ribosomal RNA
Rfam family: Bacterial small subunit ribosomal RNA
Source: RNAcentral